AGAAGCUUCAAUGCCCUCUUCUCUUAAAAGAAUGUUGAGGAACUCAACGUGAUACUUGGUGGAAACAAAAACUAUAGUCUGCUGAUCAGAAGUUAUUUGUUCACGAAUCAGAUACAGAAGUGCAGCAUGCUUCUCCUCCUGUCUUACAGUGAAAAAUGCAACCUUCAAGUCUGGACUUAUCUUUGUAUCCAAAUCAAGCCUCACAAGCUGAGGGUCUCGAAGCCCAGCCUUAGCAAAUUCAGCAAGGGCACUGGGUAAAGUUGCACUAAAAAGCAGAGUCUGGCGGUUCUCACCUAGAUGGGUGAGAAUUCUAUGCAAUUGCUCAGCAAAACCCAUGCUAAACAAACAAUCAGCUUCAUCAAAAACAACAUAUUCCACAGUGCGCAGUGACAUAUCAUCAACCUCAGAUAAAUGGUGCAUGAGCCGACCAGGAGUUG
RNAcentral lists this unclassified non-coding RNA (437 nucleotides) under Hevea brasiliensis (rubber tree). Lineage: Eukaryota; Viridiplantae; Streptophyta; Magnoliopsida; Malpighiales; Euphorbiaceae. The record is from RNAcentral.